This is a long non-coding RNA of Hippoglossus stenolepis (Pacific halibut), 2307 nucleotides long. RefSeq lists it as uncharacterized. The record is from RefSeq and is a predicted model, not a curated record. The transcript has 2 exons. NCBI's taxonomy places the organism in Eukaryota, Metazoa, Chordata, Actinopteri, Pleuronectiformes, Pleuronectidae.
CACCUCAGCCCCCUCCUCUUAUCUCCAGGGUGCGUGCAACUGGAAGUCACAACAAGAAUAAGUCAGCCCGCUUCUUGUUUCUUCACCACGAGCCCAGGCGAACUCAGAGGAUGAACAGAUCCCACAACAGCUCGUACCGCUGCUCCCUGUGUGUGACCCACAGCCACGAAGGCAGGGACCCAACAAACUUUGACCGGCUGCUGCUUCACAAACACAACAAGUUUAAACCUGAGGACUAUUCACCACUUUCCUCUGGUUGAAGUUAAAGCAUUCAACUCCGACACACUUGUGAAUAAGACCGUUAGCGAAUCAUUAACGGGAAAUACAAACACGCCGGUUCCUGUUUCGGGAUGUUAGCCGUGCGGCUAACACCAGCUAGCAACUCGAGCCUGCUAGCGCUAACCUUUGACAGGCUAGCGGCGCUAACGCUGUUAGCAGUUAGCCGAAGUGACAGUUUAUCCGGGUCGUCCCUUGGUGUCGUGUGGAGGCUUCGUGCUCACCUGGUGGAGAGGCUCCUCUGCUCGGCUCCACUGAUGGACCGGUGAUGUCGGCGGCUUCUCUCCGUUAGCUCCUCCUGCCUGGAGACUGUGGACUGUAUGAGCCGUGUGGACCCGAUCAGCUGAUGUCGCUGUCUAAAGCUACUGAAUAUACAGUGAAAAUACACACUGUCAAAAGCUAUACCCGAUUAGAAUGCACCUCAGCAGCAGCAGCAGCACGCAUCACAUAUAUCUCACUAAGCUCUGACUCAUCUCACUGUGUAAUACUCAUUUUCCAUCUGUGAAAAUUCAAUAUAUCUUAAGUGCAAUCCUGAAACAAACUCUGCUCACACUGUAUAAUAUGUAUGGCAUGCAUUACACACACACACACAGUUAUAUUAUAUUAUUAGAUAUGUAUUACUUUUACUGAUGUUUCUAUUUUUACCAUCCAUUGCUGAAUGCAGCAGAUGGUCACACACGCUGAAUCUGGUUCUGCUGGAGGCUUCUCCUGUUUUUUCUUCCCACAGUCGCCAAGUCUUUGUUCAUUGUAGGAACUGUUGGGUCUCUGUAAUAACAAUCUAAGGAGCCUUGAGAUAGUGCAUGAGGAAUGUUGUGAUUUGUUGCAAUACAAAUAACAUUGAAUUUAAUUGAACUUGUUGCUGUAACAAAACUUUCCCCAGAAUGGGAUGAAUACAGGAUGGUCUUAUUUUAGCAUAACAGAGGCAAAGCCACUCUAUAACUGAUAGUGAACUACUGCUAACUAAGUUCAUAACUAAGAGAAAUGUUUAGGGUAAUCUUACUUUCUCUGAGAAGAACAGGGAACGAGCCCUCAGGCCAUGACCCUAUCACCCUACCCGUUAAUGGUCCCUAUGGUUCCAGUCUGCUGUUUAUUAUUACACAAACCUGAAAUAAUGGUUCCAGUGAUGAAAAAUGAUCCCCACUAAGUCUUAUCUGUCAAAAAAGUCAUUAAACAUCAGAGUCUUCAUUUAUAUGACUCGCACAGCUUUUUAAAAUAAAGAUAAUGAAGCUAUAAUAAGAGGAAACAGUUCUGUAUAUCUAUAUUUGGAGACGAUAUGUAACAUGUGACUAGUUUAUACAUUAAAAAAAUAGUACAUCAAAUACAUAAACAACUGCCAACACAUAAGUUCACAAAUAAAACAUUUAUUGUGAUAAUUCUCAAUAAUCUACAGUGAUGAUUAACAGAACAUUGUAUAAACAAUGAUGCAGACGAUUAAUAAAGAUGCUAGAAUGAGGGCAGGACGUAACAAUGUGCAUCAGUUAUUCACAUUUUUUUUGAUAUGUCUGUUUUAACAUCAGUAUUCUGCUACUUCAUUAAUGUAAAAUAAAAAGUGCAAAUAUAUAGUUUUCUUUAUCAAUAUUUAACCAUUUGUGGAUGACACAUUAAAUGUCCCUGCGUAACAUAUCAUCACUGUGGAGGCUGCAGUAAAAAGCUUCAUUCACUUUGUAGGGUUUGUCAUUAAGCUGUGAUUGUCCUUUCUGAGGACUUCAAGUCGUGGUGCAGAUUGUCACUGUUUACAAGUGAAUACCAGCAGGUUUAUCAGUUGUAUGAUUGGCUACAUUCACCAUCCUUGAAGUGAUUCAGCUUGAGGCACACAAUGUCUUUACUAUGUGUUAAUGUGGUUGGGACACAUUGAGCCUAUUUAGGACAUUUUCUGAGCACAGUAACUACCGUGAACAAAGUUCAGCAAAAACAAUGAAACUAGACGUUCAAAACGAUCUGUGCUGUAUUAGUCUUAAUCAUUCAAAGAGGAUAGAUUGUACAUUGUACAUCAGUGCGGGAUAAUUAAAUAAUGCAUAUUAUUAUAUAUUA